GGGGGCGACAGGUUUCGACUGGGAGACUGGUUGCCUGGGUUGCAAGCCGAGGAGCCGUUGGCCUCGUAAAAAGCGGCAAAAAACACAAACGCGAAUACAAACUUCGUGACCCAGCGCAGCUAUGCGCUGGCCGCGUAACCCUAAAAAAGUUACCGGAUAGCGUCGCCUUUUAGGCGGCCCGUCCGACUCCUCUCGCCUGCCGAGGAGACCCGGGCGUAAUUACGCUGGCUUGCUUUCCGGAGACCGAGAAUCGGCCGGAAGGGACUCCCUGGUUCUCCCGCGCCGGCGAACCCUGUUCCUGGGGGCCAAAGGCGUUCAAUACAAAUCAGGAACUAAGCUUGUAGAUGCCUUGGUAUCCGCUACUCAGGACGAGGGUUCAAUUCCCUCCGCCUCCACCA
Molecule: transfer-messenger RNA, 398 nt
Filed under: Capsulimonadaceae bacterium
Lineage: Bacteria; Bacillati; Armatimonadota; Armatimonadia; Capsulimonadales; Capsulimonadaceae
Rfam family: transfer-messenger RNA
About the family: Bacterial tmRNA, also known as 10Sa RNA or SsrA, is named for its dual tRNA and mRNA-like properties. Its role is to liberate the mRNA from a stalled ribosome. To accomplish this part of the tmRNA is used as a reading frame that ends in a translation stop signal.
Source: RNAcentral